AUUGAACGCUGGCGGCGUGCCUAACACAUGCAAGUCGAGCGGUAACGCGGGGGCAACCCUGGCGACGAGCGGCGAACGGGUGCGGAAUGCAUGGGAAUCUGCCUGAUAGUGGGGAAUAACCCGGGGAAACUCGGGCUAAUGCCGCAUACGACCUGAGGGUGAAAGCGGGGGACCGUAAGGCCUCGCGCUAUCAGAUGAGCCCAUGUCGGAUUAGCUAGUUGGUAGGGUAACGGCCUACCAAGGCGACGAUCCGUAGCUGGUCUGAGAGGACGGCCAGCCACACUGGGACUGAGACACGGCCCAGACUCCUACGGGAGGCAGCAGUGGGGAAUAUUGGACAAUGGGGGAAACCCUGAUCCAGCGACGCCGCGUGUGUGAAGAAGGCCUGCGGGUUGUAAAGCACUUUCGGUGGGAACGAAAUAUGCCGGGCCAAUACCCCGGUAGGCUGACGUUACCCAAUGAAGAAGCACCGGCUAACUCUGUGCCAGCAGCCGCGGUAAAGUCGAUA
This 508-nucleotide ribosomal RNA is filed under the name uncultured bacterium. RNAcentral describes it as "bacterial SSU rRNA". It matches the Rfam family "Bacterial small subunit ribosomal RNA", at positions 29 to 531 of the family's 1533-position model. The record is from RNAcentral.